Saimiri boliviensis boliviensis (Bolivian squirrel monkey) is the source of this 493-nucleotide long non-coding RNA. RefSeq lists it as uncharacterized. The record is from RefSeq and is a predicted model, not a curated record. NCBI's taxonomy places the organism in Eukaryota, Metazoa, Chordata, Mammalia, Primates, Cebidae.
UUUCACAGCACUGGGUGCAGGCAGUCUACUUCAGGAGAAGCAAUGUGAUUUACCAAGCUAACAACUGAAGAGAACUGUAUCACUCAGAAUCUGAGUGGUGGCAGAGACUAUACCUGCCUUGCUAGCUGCUGUAUCUGCAAUGCUAAGUAUACUGCCUGCCACACAGAUAAAAAAAUACUAUCCACAUCUAAGAUUAUUUUUCACUUCGACAUGCUUCACCUGAAAGAGUCAAGAAAGCGUUUCUCUAAUGCAUUUUAGAUGUCUCAUAUCAGUCAUUUGCUCAACUAUCAGUCACUCACACAGCCUGCAAUUAUGCACAAAACAACCUGCUAUGGUGAUAACAAGACAUUAUCUAUUGACUUUCUACUAUGAAAUAAGAGAAUCUGAAUCCUUCCUCCUCCAUGACUACCCGGUUUAUGAGAUUGUCUCUUUGUCACCAGAGACAAUUUGAAAUUUCACGGGCUGGAGGAGCGUGGUGGCUCAGGCUUGUAAU